UCCGUCGGCGGUCCCGCAAGUCGUUUGUUUAAGCCCCUGGCCUAACUAGGGAACAGCAAGCGAAACUGCAGGACUUGAAUCUGUUUGGGGUAGUUGGAAUUCUUGGUGGAGGGGUGAAAUCCGUAGAUAUCAAGAGGAACGCCGCGCGCGAAGGCAGGCUACUAAAACACGAUUGACGCUCAUGGACGAAAGCUAGGGUAGCAAAAG
This 207-nucleotide ribosomal RNA is filed under the name uncultured bacterium. Its description in RNAcentral is "partial 16S ribosomal RNA". It matches the Rfam family "Bacterial small subunit ribosomal RNA", at positions 568 to 774 of the family's 1533-position model. The record is from RNAcentral.